Non-coding RNA from Sturnus vulgaris (Common starling), 79 nucleotides. The record is from RefSeq and is a predicted model, not a curated record. NCBI's taxonomy places the organism in Eukaryota, Metazoa, Chordata, Aves, Passeriformes, Sturnidae.
UGCUUUUGAGACUGAUGUGCUUCUGCAAUAAAUAACCUUAUAGAAACUAUUAGCUGCUUGGCUCUUUCACCAAAGGAGA